GAGUUCGAUCCUGGCUCAGGAUGAACGCUAGCGGCAGGCUUAAUACAUGCAAGUCGUGGGGCAGCAGGGGUAGCAAUACCCGCUGGCGACCGGCAAACGGGUGAGGAACAUGUACGCAACCUUCCUUUAACUGGAGAAUAGCCCCUCGAAAGAGGGAUUAAUACUCCGUAACAUAAUGAAGUGGCAUCACUUUAUUAUUAUAGCUCCGGCGGUUAAAGAUGGGCGUGCACCUGAUUAGAUAGUUGGCGGGGUAAUGGCCCACCAAGUCUGCGAUCAGUAACUGGUGUGAGAGCACGACCAGUCACACGGGCACUGAGACACGGGUCCGACUCCUACGGGAGGCAGCAGUAAGGAAUAUUGGUCAAUGGACGCAAGUCUGAACCAGCCAUGCCGCGUGGAGGAUUAAGGCCCUCUGGGUUGUAAACUCCUUUUAUCUGGGAAGAAA
RNAcentral lists this ribosomal RNA (445 nucleotides) under uncultured soil bacterium. RNAcentral describes it as "bacterial SSU rRNA". It matches the Rfam family "Bacterial small subunit ribosomal RNA", at positions 9 to 450 of the family's 1533-position model. The record is from RNAcentral.